RNAcentral lists this transfer RNA (77 nucleotides) under Pseudomonas sp. 008. Its description in RNAcentral is "tRNA-Tyr". The record is from RNAcentral. RNAcentral also lists the same sequence under 1 other name. Lineage: Bacteria; Pseudomonadati; Pseudomonadota; Gammaproteobacteria; Pseudomonadales; Pseudomonadaceae.
GGCGGGCAUAGGUGGCGACGCUGGCGUCGGCGCUAUAGAUGCCGGCCUGCGGGUCGUUCGGUACGGUCUGUUCGCCG